CCUACGGGUGGCAGCAGUCGAGAAUCAUUCACAAUGGGGGAAACCCUGAUGGUGCGACGCCGCGUGGGGGAAUGAAGGUCUUCGGAUUGUAAACCCCUGUCAUGUGGGAGCAAAUUAAAAAGAUAGUACCACAUGAGGAAGAGACGGCUAACUCUGUGCCAGCAGCCGCGGUAAUACAGAGGUCUCAAGCGUUGUUCGGAAGCACUGGGCGUAAAGCGUGCGUAGGCUGUUUCGUAAGUCGUGUGUGAAAGGCGCGGGCUCAACCCGCGGACGGCACAUGAUACUGGGAGACUAGAGUAAUGGAGGGGGAACCGGAAUUCUCGGUGUAGCAGUGAAAUGCGUAGAUAUCGAGAGGAACACUCGUGGCGAAGGCGGGUUCCUGGACAGUAACUGACGCUGAGGCACGAAGGCCAGGGGAGCGAAAGGGAUUAGAUACCCUUGUAGUC
This 446-nucleotide ribosomal RNA is filed under the name uncultured bacterium. Its description in RNAcentral is "partial 16S ribosomal RNA". It matches the Rfam family "Bacterial small subunit ribosomal RNA", at positions 338 to 795 of the family's 1533-position model. The record is from RNAcentral.